UACGAAGGGGGCUAGCGUUGCUCGGAAUCACUGGGCGUAAAGGGUGCGCAGGCGGGUCUUUAAGUCAGGGGUGAAAUCCUGGAGCUCAACUCCAGAACUGCCUUUGAUACUGAAGAUCUUGAGUCCGGGAGAGGUGAGUGGAACUGCGAGUGUAGAGGUGAAAUUCGUAGAUAUUCGCAAGAACACCAGUGGCGAAGGCGGCUCACUGGCCCGGUACUGACGCUGAGGCACGAAAGCGUGGGGAGCAAACAGG
RNAcentral lists this ribosomal RNA (253 nucleotides) under uncultured bacterium. Its description in RNAcentral is "partial 16S ribosomal RNA". It matches the Rfam family "Bacterial small subunit ribosomal RNA", at positions 524 to 776 of the family's 1533-position model. The record is from RNAcentral.